Molecule: ribosomal RNA, 1479 nt
Filed under: uncultured Bordetella sp.
Lineage: Bacteria; Pseudomonadati; Pseudomonadota; Betaproteobacteria; Burkholderiales; Alcaligenaceae
Description: partial 16S-23S ribosomal RNA intergenic spacer
Rfam family: Bacterial small subunit ribosomal RNA
Source: RNAcentral
GGUUUGAUCCCGGCUCAGAUUGAAACGCUUUAUGGGAUGCUUUACAAAGAUGCAAGUCGAAUGGCAGCACGGACUUCGGUCUGCGGGCGAGUGGCGGAACGGCGAGUAAUGUAUCGGAACGUCAUAUAGCGGUGAUGGAACCGCCGCGAGUGAAAUAAUACCGCAUAAUGCCCUUCGGGGAAAGCGGGGGACCCUUCGGGCCUCGCACUAAUAGAGCGGCCGAUAUCGGAUUAGCUAGUUGGUGGGGUAACGGCUCACCACAGACGAUCCGUAGCUGGUUUGAGAGGACGACCAGCCACACUGGGAUUCUGAGACACGGCCCAGACUCCUACGGGAGGCAGCAGUGGGGAAUUUUGACAAUGGGGGAAAUCUGACCUGCUUGGUCCUGGCGUGUGCGAUGAAGGCCUUCGGGUUGUAAAGCACUUUGCAGAAAGAAACGGUACGGGAUAAUACCCCGUGCAACUGACGGUACCUGAACAGAAUAAGCACUGGCUAACUACGUGCCAGCAGCCGCGGUAAUACGUAGGGUGCAAGCGUUAAUCGAAUUACUGGGCGUAAAGCGUGCGCAGGCGGUUCGGAAAGAAAGAUGAAAUCCCAGAGCUUAACUUUGGAACUGCAUUUUAACUAAUGAGCUAGAGUGUGUCAGAGGGAGGUGGAAUUCGCGUGUGGCAGUGAAAUGCGUAGAUAUGCGGAGGAACACCGAUGGCGAAGGCAGCCUCUGGGAUAACACUGACGCUCGCACGAAAGCGUGGGGAGCAAACAGAUUAUUAUCUUGGUAGUCCACGCCCUAAACGAUGUCAACUAGCUGUUGGGGCUUCUCGGCCUUGGUAGCGCAGCUAACGCGCGGUUGACCGCCUGGGGAGUACGGUCGCAAGAUUAAAACUCAAAGGAAUUGACGGGGACCCGCACAAGCGGUGGAUGAUGUGGAUUAAUUUGAUGCAACGCGAAAAACCUUACCUACCCUUGACAUGUCUGGAAUCCCGAAGAGAUUUGGGAGUGCCUGCAAGAGAACCGGAACACAGGUGCCGCAUGGCCAUGUCGUCAGCUCGUGUCGAGAUGUUGGGUUAAGUCCCGCAACGAGCGCAACCCUUGUCAUUAGUUGCUACGAAAGGGCACCUCCCCAUCGACUGCCGGCAGUGGACAACCGGAGGAAGGUGGGGAUGACGUCAAGUCCUCAUGGCCCUUAUGGGUAGGGCUUCACACGUCAUACGGAAUGGUCGGGACAGAGGGUCGCCAACCCGCGAGGGGGAGCCAAUCCAGAAACCCGAUCGGGACCGGAUCGCAGUCUGCAACUCGACUGCGUGAAGUCGGAAUCGCUAGUAAUCGCGAUCAGCAUGUCGCGGUGAAUACGUUCCCGGGUCUUGUACACACCGCCCGUCACACCAUGGAGUGGGUUUCACUGAGAAGUGAAGUAGGCCUAACCGUAAGGAUAUGAUUAUCACGGUAGAUUCAUGAUCAGGUGAAGUCGUAACAAGGUAA